RNAcentral lists this ribosomal RNA (301 nucleotides) under uncultured bacterium. Its description in RNAcentral is "partial 16S ribosomal RNA". It matches the Rfam family "Bacterial small subunit ribosomal RNA", at positions 509 to 807 of the family's 1533-position model. The record is from RNAcentral.
CAGUAGCCGCGGUAAUACGGAGGGGGCUAGCGUUGUUCGGAAUUACUGGGCGUAAAGCGCACGUAGGCGGCUUGGUAAGUUAGAGGUGAAAGCCCGGAGCUCAACACCAGAACUGCCUUUAAGACUGCAUCGCUUGAACGUCGGAGAGGUGAGUGGAAUUCCGAGUGUAGAGGUGAAAUUCGUAGGUAUUCGGAAGAACACCAGUGGCGAAAGCGGGCUCCUGGACCCCACCUGACGCUGAGAUGCGAAAGCGUGGGGAGCAAACAGGAUUAGAUACCCGCGUAGUCCCUGUCUCUUAUAC